Molecule: long non-coding RNA, 446 nt
Organism: Gorilla gorilla gorilla (western lowland gorilla)
Lineage: Eukaryota; Metazoa; Chordata; Mammalia; Primates; Hominidae
Exons: 2
Source: RefSeq, a predicted model, not a curated record
UAUUUCCAGUCUAAGGCCUGAAGGGUAAGUAGGCAUUAACCAAGUGAAGGGAAGGAAGGUAUGAACAUGGAGAAAGGACAUAAGAAGAGGAGAGGCAGAAGAAAUUGUAUAUGGAGGGCUGUACAGGAAGCAUGACUGGGAAGGCCUCAGGAAACUUACAAUCAUGGCAAAAGCAGGAAGAAGAAAGUGAAAUGAAAGGUGCCACACACUUUUAAACAACCAGAUCUCAGGAGGACUCGCUAUUAUGAGAACAGCAAGGGAGAAAUCCACCCCCAUGAUCCCAUCGCCUCCUACCAGGCCUCUCCUCCAACACUGGGGAUUACAAUUCAUUAUGGAGGAGGACACAAAUCCAAACCAUAUUACCAGGCUAGGCUGGAUUUUCCUUUCUCAUUCUGGUAUAGCGCCAUGUUCUUUUUUUUCAAAUUAAAAAAAGACAUGAUUUAUAA